UUGCAUGUAUUCCUGCCGAGUGUGACUGAGUGACAUGUUAAUGGUUAACCAGUGUUAUUGAGGGAAGGGUUCACUGGAGUAGCAAGCAGAAGCAGCCAUUUUAGCUGCACAGACUGUUAACUGGCAGCUUAUAUCUCUACCAGGCUGGCUGUGGAAGAACAGCUGCCAUGGUGACGCUGAAUCACUUGACUGUAGAGGACCCAGACGAUGGCUCUCCACUGCUGCCCGAGGCUGCGGAGGCGGCAACACCAACGCCUGUCUUUCACAGACAGCGAGGUGUCACAAAGACUGACUCCAGGGAAUUUUUCCUCAGCAGGAGUGAGAACCUUGCCUUCAGUCUGACGCUGCUUAUCAUAUGCUACUUGGCUAUUCUGAUUCCUGCAUAUUUCCCCUUGGAUAACGUGGAAACUCUCAGUGAAGACAACCCGCAUCCCAAAGAUCUGGUCUUACUAAAUCAGUCAGCCUCCCUGCUGUCCGGUCCAUGUCAGCCUCGCUGGUGUCUGAACCACCUCAAGCCCCUGUCGUGUUCUGCAAGCCUCCUGGACAUCCCUGUGUUUGUGCAGCAGGACAGGCCUGUGCCCUGGGAUCUGUCCCCUCCUCUGGGGCUCCUGGGCAGUGAAGAACCUCUGGCCCUGGCUCUUGCCUCUCUGCCUCAGCCUGGCCUGCCUCCAUCACUGAGGGGAGAAGGCAGCUGCAGACGAUGCGUGGUGGUAGGCAAUGGAGGGGUUCUUCACGGGAGCCAUCUUGGAUCCCAUAUAGAUCAGUACGACAUCAUCAUCAGGCUGAAUAAUGCUCCAGUGUCUGGCUUUGAGAGAGACGCUGGUUUACGUACCACCAUCCGCCUGAUUUACCCAGAGGGAGCACCUCACUCUGAAAGCGACUACAAAAAUACCACCAUGGUUGCUCUGGUGGUCUUUAAGAGCCUGGAUCUAGACUGGCUCACUUCUGUAAUCACCAAAAAGCCUCUGAGCUUCUGGUCCAAACUGUGGUUCUGGAGGGAGGUGGUGGAUGACAUUCCCCUGAAACCAGAGAACUUCAGGAUCCUCCACCCGGAGAUUAUUCACAAGACAGGACAAGUUCUACAGAAAUAUGCUCUGAAACAGGGGAACAUGGUGCCAACACUAGGUGCAAGUGCAGUUGUGAUGGCUUUCCAACUGUGUGACCAGGUGAGCCUAGCAGGGUUUGGGUAUGAUAUGCAGCACCUAGAGGCCAGGCUUCACUACUAUGAGACCAUACGCAUGGGAGCUAUGAAAUCUCAAGUGGUGCAUGACAUCAGUGCUGAGAAACUCUUCUUGAGGGACCUGGUGGCUGCAGGAGCUGUGACUGACCUCAUAGGAGCUCUGUGAAUCACCAGUACAGGGACUGAUAAUAUACUCUACACACACUCCUCCCUCUCACCAUGAGCCCGGACGGGGUCCUCCAUAACUUCGCCCUGCUGGAGGAAUCCUACACAGCGUGGACUGACCUUUCAAAUGCCCACAGUCUCCAGGGCUGACUGAUGAGUGAGCAAAUAAAACUCUAAAAGCUCAGACGCGGUGCGUUCUGUGAUGUUGAGCGACGGCGCAAUCAUUUGGCCGGUGGAUCGGUCCACGCAGAUAAAAUGGAUGAGGCCCGGGAAAUCCUCCAGGAAGUCCUUCCAGUCCAUCAGUUUCUCUCUGGGAGAGACAGGGUGACAGGAAAGGGAUAAACAUAUAGAAAAAGAUGAAGAAAGAAAGGAGAUACAGACAUUAACAACGAAAGAUGUCGUUGUGGACUGUCUUAGUUGAAAAAUAGCUAAAUGAUGUUCAGCUGACUGAUACGCACUGCACCAUGGUCUGGGCUCGUUCCUGCAGACCGGGGGAGAGAUGUCGAGGAAUGUCGGCUGGUCCACAGUCAAUAAGAAAACACUGUCGGUAUAUUCCACACAGCUGGGUCUUCAAAUUCUUACACCAUGGGAUGAGCCUAAAACAAAAACAGAGUGCGAUCACUCAAAGGAUGAUCCCAACGGCUUUGCUCUGAUGCAUUUCGGCCAGCAGAGGGCUGCAGUGGACUUACUCUUUGCUGAACCCAGGUCCCCCUCUGGCGAAGGCUCGGCUCUUGAAUUCUGUCCAGACAUUUUGUAGCUGUGCAGACUGGAUAGAAGACAAAAGGAACAAAAGCAGAUUGCAUUUAAGCGUAAAAUAAAAAAGUGAAACUAUUA
RNA transcript from Micropterus dolomieu (smallmouth bass), 2179 nucleotides. It is a transcript of the gene named ST3 beta-galactoside alpha-2,3-sialyltransferase 7, with no coding region annotated. Lineage: Eukaryota; Metazoa; Chordata; Actinopteri; Centrarchiformes; Centrarchidae. The transcript is spliced from 10 exons. The record is from RefSeq and is a predicted model, not a curated record.